GGAUCACUUUGGCCCUGAGGAUUUUCAUCCGUCCUUGAAUGAGAGGGCCAAACAGUUAGCCUUUCUUUACACAGAACUUGGACUAGAUCAUCCAAAAACUCGACGGAGACUAAAAGUAACUGGCAAGUCUCAUAAAACACAAAACUAAAUUGUGAAUGCGUGGAAAAACCACCAGACAAAAAGCUUUGCUGAUUUUUCUUAAUAAACCAAACAUUUAUUUUGUUACGUG
This is a long non-coding RNA of Puntigrus tetrazona (Sumatra barb), 229 nucleotides long. RefSeq lists it as uncharacterized. The transcript has 2 exons. NCBI's taxonomy places the organism in Eukaryota, Metazoa, Chordata, Actinopteri, Cypriniformes, Cyprinidae. The record is from RefSeq and is a predicted model, not a curated record.